AUGUCCCCAAAACGUCCCCAAAUGUCCCCAAAAUGUCCCCGAAUGUCCCCAAAACGUCCCCGAGUGCCACCUCCCAGUGACACCGGAGCGUCCCCCAAGCGCCACCCAAGUGCCACCCAAAGCGUCCCCAGAUGUCCCCAAGUGCCACCGGCGGCUCUUGAGGCCACCAAGGUGCCACCACCCCCCUCAAAGUCCCUGCAGUGUCCCCAAGGUGCCACCACCGUGUCCCCAAGGUGUCCCCAAGGUGCCACCACCCCCAGUGUCACCGUGUCAAUCAAUGUCCCCAAGGUGCCACCACCCCCUGAAUGUCCCCGAGGUGCCACCACCCCCGGGGUCACCGUGUCAACCAAUGUCCCCAAAGUGUCCCCCAAGUGCCACCACCCCAAUGUCACCCUGUCCCCAAAGUGCCACCCCUGAAUGUCCCCAGGUGUCCCCAAGGUGCCACCACGGCAGUGCCACCAAUGUCAAUAAAUGUCCCCGGAGUGC
RNAcentral lists this long non-coding RNA (486 nucleotides) under Cyanistes caeruleus (blue tit). RNAcentral describes it as "lncRNA (ENSCCEG00000003284.1)". The record is from RNAcentral. Lineage: Eukaryota; Metazoa; Chordata; Aves; Passeriformes; Paridae.